RNAcentral lists this ribosomal RNA (253 nucleotides) under uncultured bacterium. RNAcentral's name for it is "partial 16S ribosomal RNA". It matches the Rfam family "Bacterial small subunit ribosomal RNA", at positions 524 to 776 of the family's 1533-position model. The record is from RNAcentral.
UACGUAGGGUCCGAGCGUUGUCCGGAAUUACUGGGCGUAAAGAGCUCGUAGGUGGUUUGUCGCGUUGUUCGUGAAAACUCACAGCUCAACUGUGGGCGUGCGGGCGAUACGGGCAGACUGGAGUACUGCAGGGGAGACUGGAAUUCCUGGUGUAGCAGUGGAAUGCGCAGAUAUCAGGAGGAACACCGGUGGCGAAGGCGGGUCUCUGGGCAGUAACUGACGCUGAGGAGCGAAAGCGUGGGGAGCGAACAGG